GUCGACCGGCGAAUGGGUGAGUAACGCGUAUCCAACCUGCCCCUGUCCCGGGAAUAGCCCUCGGAAACGAGGAUUAACGCCCGAUUUGCGGAGCAGCCGCAUGGCAGUUCCGUGAAAUGCCUAAGGACGGGGAUGGGGAUGCGUCUGAUUAGCCAGCUGGCGGGGUAACGGCCCACCAGGGCUUCGAUCAGUAGGGGUUCUGAGAGGAAGGUCCCCCACACUGGAACUGAGACACGGUCCAGACUCCUACGGGAGGCAGCAGUGAGGAAUAUUGGUCAAUGGCCGAGAGGCUGAACCAGCCAAGUAGCGUGAGGGACGAAGGCCCUAUGGGUUGUAAACCUCUUUUAUGCGGGGAUAAAGAGCGCCACGCGUGGCGUGUUGCAGGUACCGCAUGAAUAAGGACCGGCUAAUUCCGUGCCAGCAGCCGCGGUAAUACGGAAGGUCCGGGCGUUAUCCGGAUUUAUUGGGUUUAAAGGGAGCGCAGGCGGAGCGCCAAGUCAGCCGUCAAAUGGCUCAGCUCAACUGAGUCCUGCGGUUGAAACUGGCGCCCUUGGGUGCACAAGAGGCAGGCGGAACUCGUGGUGUAGCGGUGAAAUGCAUAGAUAUCACGAAGAACUCCGAUUGCGAAGGCAGCUUGCUGGGGUGUUAACCGACGCUCAUGCUCGAAAGGCGCGGGUAUCAAACAGGAUUAGAUACCCUGGUAGUCCACGCAAGGUAAACGAUGAUGACUAACUGUCGGCGAUAAACAGUCGGUGGCCAAGCGAAAGCGAUAAGUCAUCCACCUGGGGAGUACGUUCGCAAGAAUGAAACUCAAAGGAAUUGACGGGGGCCCGCACAAGCGGAGGAACAUGUGGUUUAAUUCGAUGAUACGCGAGGAACCUUACCCGGGCUCGAACGGCUAGUGAACGACCCAGAGAUGGGAAGGCCCUUCGGGGCGCUGAGUCGAGGUGCUGCAUGGUUGUCGUCAGCUCGUGCCGUGAGGUGUCGGCUGUGAAGUGCCAUAACGAGCGCAACGCCGUUGCCGCUAGUUACCAUGCAAGUAAAGUUGGGGACUCUAGCGGGACUGCCACCGCAAGGUGAGAGGAAGGCGGGGAUGACGUCAAAUCAGCACGGCCCUUACGUCCGGGGCGACACACGUGUUACAAUGGCGGUUACAGAGGGAUGCCACCCAGCGAUGGGAAGCCAAUCUCGAAAAGCCGCCUCAGUUCGGACUGGAGUCUGCAACCCGACUCCACGAAGCUGGAUUCGCUAGUAAUCGCGCAUCAGCCAUGGCGCGGUGAAUACGUUCCCGGGCCUUGUACACACCGCCCGUCAAGCCAUGAAAGCCGGGGGUGCCUGAAGUUCGUGACC
Molecule: ribosomal RNA, 1350 nt
Filed under: uncultured bacterium
Lineage: Bacteria
Description: 16S ribosomal RNA
Rfam family: Bacterial small subunit ribosomal RNA
Source: RNAcentral